This is a long non-coding RNA of Homo sapiens (human), 1750 nucleotides long. The record is from Ensembl. NCBI's taxonomy places the organism in Eukaryota, Metazoa, Chordata, Mammalia, Primates, Hominidae.
UUCCUCUUUGCCUUCCACCAUCAUUGUAAGUUUCCCGAGGCCUCCCCAGCUAUGCCUCCUGCACAGCCUGCAGAACUGAAAUGGUCCCACUGAGGCCCAAGACUUGACAGUGGAAGUCUUGCCAAUUUAAAGUCUAAUGAAGAUUGUGAAUUAUUGACUGGCACAAGUAGAGCUUCCUGCACUCAAUGAUGGACAACUGAAGGCCUGUGCUAGCACUCUGUUUGGUACUUAGGAGAGUGUGGCUCAAUUUUUCCACUUUCUUUAAGAUGUGAAACUUCAGUCAACCUCUUUGUGUCAGAUUCCCUCCAUCUUGAAAACAAUUUCUGCCGCCUCCUACCUUCUCUGCUACAGGAUGACUAAUGUCCGUGCAGAACUGCAGGACUUCUGAAAGAACCACAUGCUUUUGGGGCCAGAGGAAGCCAACCACCUGGCUGUGUGUUCCCCUUCUUUCAUCUCCUACUGCUAAGGGCCUUGGCCUCUGAAGGGCAGCAACAAGAGCACCAGCUAACUUUCUUGAAAAUUCACUCUGCCAGAAGCCCUGCUGAGAGCUCUACACACCUUCGUCUAUUUAAUCAUCCCAAAGACACUGUUGGGAGGUAUAGUUACCAGCCCCAUUUAGCAGGUUGGGAGACUCCGAGGUUGUCACCUGCCAAAGGCCACAGACCUAGAAAGUGUUAGAACUGGGACAAACCCACAUCGGAAUGAUUCCAAAGCCCUUACUCUUAGCAGUAAGACCUCGAUGUCUCCCUGGCAUUGUUAGGAGUCCUCAAAUCCAUUGUCUAUGGACUGAGUACAAAAUACAUACAUAUUCUAUAGAGAAUAAUAACAUAUAAAUUCAUCAUUAAUACAUUCCUUGGAGCUUAUUAUAUUCUCAGUUAAUUGUGUACAAAAAUUGCAUCAACUCAAAAAUGCUGGCAUUCUCUGUCCUUCAGUCGUUAUCCCUGUGUCCUCUGUGUACAGUACUGAUUAGCUUGUCUGGUGCCAUUACUCAUCUCCCAGUGUUUGUGUCACUUCUUCAACAAGGUAAACUCCUAGUAAGUGGGACUACAGAAAAUAGGGUUUCUUUUGAGUCCUGCCUGGUCCCACUCCAAGGUCUUACACUUGAUAGAUACAGAUUUAGCUAACUGGUUGAUUACAACAACCUCUGUAAUACUCCUCCUCAUAUUGGCCCACAGAAUGAUACAUCUCAAGUCUCCUGCCCUGUAUCCCGCUGGAGAUGCCCUAAUGUGGCCUGCAUGCUUCCAACAGCCCAGACUGUAAUGAAAAUAGCUACCAUGUAUUCAGCACGUUCUGUUCACUAGGCUCUAUACUCGGUGCAGGGGAUACUGUUGUGAAGAAAACAAAGCGCAGAGCUCAGCUAUUGUAUUAAUGCAAUGUGGGAUGGCAUUUCAUUAACAUAACCACCUAGAGGAGGGUAUCAUCUUCUCCCUUUUACUGAUGGAAAAGUUGUAGAGGAGCAGAACUUGAACUAGGGUUUAUCUCAAUAUGUUUUGAUUUGUGGGUCACUACCCAUUGUUGGAUUAAUGGGUGCUAAAUGUAUUUAGUGGGUCAUAACUAACAUUUAUUUUAAUGGAUUGGUUUGGGAUGGAAGGACCAGAGUACAUAGCAUGUAAUAGAAGUAUUAUUUGCUGAAACUUUUGUUUCAUUUACAUACAGACAUAUAGAGAGUUGCAAUAUAUUUCUUACUGUGAGUCAUGUCAGAAAACAUAUGAAAGCCACUGGUUUGUUCAAAUCCCAAUCUGUUCUUCUA